RNAcentral lists this microRNA (22 nucleotides) under Salmo salar (Atlantic salmon). RNAcentral's name for it is "ssa-miR-301c-5p". Its record names the gene ssa-miR-301c-5p. Lineage: Eukaryota; Metazoa; Chordata; Actinopteri; Salmoniformes; Salmonidae. The record is from miRBase by way of RNAcentral.
GCUUUGAUGACGUUGCACUACU